UUGGAGGGCAAGUCUGGUGCCAGCAGCCGCGGUAAUUCCAGCUCCAAUAGCGUAUAUUAAAGUUGUUGCAGUUAAAAAGCUCGUAGUUGAAUUUCGGGGUUAGUAGGUUGGUCAUGCCUCUGGUAUGUACUGGUCUCACUGAUUCCUCCUUCCUUAUGAACCGUAAUGCCAUUAAUUUGGUGUUGCGGGGAAUUUGGACUGUUACCUUGAAAAAAUUAGAGUGUUUAAAGCAAGCUAACGCUUGAAUACAUUAGCAUGGAAUAAUGAAAUAGGACG
This 276-nucleotide ribosomal RNA is filed under the name uncultured Glomus. RNAcentral's name for it is "partial 18S ribosomal RNA". It matches the Rfam family "Eukaryotic small subunit ribosomal RNA", at positions 548 to 829 of the family's 1831-position model. Lineage: Eukaryota; Fungi; Glomeromycota; Glomeromycetes; Glomerales; Glomeraceae. The record is from RNAcentral.